This 89-nucleotide transfer RNA is filed under the name Thermoactinomyces intermedius. RNAcentral describes it as "tRNA-Leu". It matches the Rfam family "tRNA". From Rfam's summary of the family: Transfer RNA (tRNA) molecules are approximately 80 nucleotides in length. Their secondary structure includes four short double-helical elements and three loops (D, anti-codon, and T loops). The record is from RNAcentral. RNAcentral also lists the same sequence under 8 other names. Lineage: Bacteria; Bacillati; Bacillota; Bacilli; Caryophanales; Thermoactinomycetaceae.
GCGGACGUGGCGGAAUUGGCAGACGCGCAAGAUUCAGGUUCUUGUGGUCACUUCAGACCGUGGGGGUUCAAGUCCCUUCGUCCGCACCA